Molecule: transfer-messenger RNA, 355 nt
Filed under: Cephaloticoccus capnophilus
Lineage: Bacteria; Pseudomonadati; Verrucomicrobiota; Opitutia; Opitutales; Opitutaceae
Description: Standard tmRNA
Rfam family: transfer-messenger RNA
About the family: Bacterial tmRNA, also known as 10Sa RNA or SsrA, is named for its dual tRNA and mRNA-like properties.
Source: Rfam by way of RNAcentral
GGGGGUGUUUUGGAUUCGAUUUUCGGGUGGAGCGCGUGGCUGCCGUUCGAGAGUGAAGCGUCUCUCGUAAAUCCCCGUUUCAACACCAUAAAUGGCAACUUCGAAGAAAUGCCCCUGGCUGCUUAAGUUCAGCCACGUCGGCUCAGCGACACCUGCUAGCUGAAACCGGCGACGACAGCAGGCAUAGUGUGCGGUGCGACUCGCGGGCUGCACACGGUAUCUUCAUCCGGGAGUUGGCCUUGGGCUCAAGCGCGUGCGCUAGCUGAGCUCGGGCGAGAGUGAUAGGGCACUAUGACGGUAGAUGCGGCGCGUGAAGGCCGAAAAGACGCGGGUUCAACUCCCGCCACCUCCACCA